This 221-nucleotide ribosomal RNA is filed under the name uncultured bacterium. RNAcentral's name for it is "partial 16S ribosomal RNA". It matches the Rfam family "Bacterial small subunit ribosomal RNA", at positions 28 to 245 of the family's 1533-position model. The record is from RNAcentral.
GACGAACGCUGGCGGCGUGCUUAACACAUGCAAGUCGAGCGACUGCAUUCUUUUCGGAGGGUGUAUGGAGCGGCGAACGGGUGAGUAACACGUGAGUAAUCUGCCUUUGGCUUGGGAAUAACUUCGGGAAAUCGGGGCUAAUGCCUGAUGUUUACUGUCUGCUGCAUGGUGGGUGGUGGAAAAGACUUUUUGGCCAGGGAGUGAGCUCGCGGUCUAUCAGC